RNAcentral lists this unclassified non-coding RNA (22 nucleotides) under Mus musculus (house mouse). RNAcentral describes it as "oocyte_clustered_small_RNA31". Lineage: Eukaryota; Metazoa; Chordata; Mammalia; Rodentia; Muridae. The record is from RNAcentral.
UCUCAUGGAAGGUUGCCCCUAU